RNA transcript from Zingiber officinale, 2474 nucleotides. RefSeq lists it as uncharacterized. The record is from RefSeq and is a predicted model, not a curated record. The transcript has 5 exons. NCBI's taxonomy places the organism in Eukaryota, Viridiplantae, Streptophyta, Magnoliopsida, Zingiberales, Zingiberaceae.
GUGAGGGUUCUUCAUUCCGCUGCAGAAGGAAUCCGGUCGAUUCUUCUCCAGCCGAAAGGAAUGCAAUCCAAGUACCGCAACUCCGGCGAUGGAUACCGUCCGAGGUCGCCGUUCCGCCGCAACCAGAGGCGCGGAGGUUUCAGCCGCAGCUACUCGAAGCCCCACAACCCUCCCGCCACCAAGGUGGAGAUCUUGAUGGAAGCCGGCCGCCUCGCCGCUGAGUAUCUCGUCUACAAGGGCGUGCUCCCCUCCAGCGCUCUUCCUCCCCGCGAACCCUCCGCUGGAGGCACCAUACAGGAAUUCAGAGGCUACGGGAGAGACAACCCCGCCCCAUCGUUCUUCAAUGAACCCAGAGUUCCGGCUAUGGCCAGGCUUGGAUACCCGGAAUCUGGAGCUGGGUAUUCGAAGAAAAGGUUUAAUGAUGAUUACGAGCGAUUUGGGCCUAGGAAGAACGCAAGGGUCCAGAGAACAGGGGCAUACGCCAGAGGGUUUGGUGGUCCUGAUUGGGAUAGGGAACGGGGAAGAAACGGGCUGUGGAUGGAACGGAGUAGAAACCAAUCGGAUGUCAUGGAAGAGGACGACGACGACUUUGCCCCAGGAUACAGCAGAGAUCGGCGGAGCGGGCAUGAGGAGGUUGGAAGCAGCAGGGUUGCUGGAGAUGAACAGCACUCGAAGAGUGAAGUGGUGGGCGAAUCAGGGUCAGAGAUUGAUGAUGCUGGCUCCAAGGCGAGUUCGAAUAGUACUAGGAAGGAUGCCCCUUCUGCAGGGUCCGCUGAUGUGAACAAAGGGGCAGAUGAUGUGAUGGUCUCAAAUACAGAAGCUGGAGAAGGUAAGAGUAGCGAGAGAGAACAGCUGGGUAAGAAAAACACAGUGGAGGAGGAUUUGGCCAUGAAACCUGUUGAAGUCGAUGAAGGUGUGUCUGUCAGUGAUCAUGCUGAUGGCCUGUUGAAACUUGGUGGUUUUCCGAAAGUGCCAAAACGACCUCGAUCAUCAUUGGCACAUAAAAAUCCUACUGAUCUUGGUUUUAAAAGUGAGGCUGGAAAUAGAGUUGAAUCUGCAUCCAGAGAAGAAAAUGAAAUUAUUGUGGACGAACUUCCAACUGAUGCUUCUUUGAAACAAUCCCCAACACCCUUGUCGCACACAAGUCUCAUCCACUGUGAGCAUGGGAAUGAGUUUGAAGUUUCUAUAGGAGGAACUGAAACAAGUGCAAGCAAACUUCCAACUGAAGGCUCACAAAAAGAUUCUCAUAUAGUUUACACUGACAAAUCUGAUUCUGAAAUACCAGUUAAUUCCGCUGAGGUCGAUAUUCAAUCCUCCAAGCAAUCACUCGAGUCGCAGUGUGAGCUGCAACAGAACCUACCUUCAGAAAUGUCCAUUACGAAAGUAGAUGAAGACAAGGAUGAUAAGGUUAGCGAACAUAGUGGUAACAGGGAACUUGAGAAGCAGAUUUGCUCAUCUUCACCUAGUACAUUCCAGAAGAAUGAACCCUCUCAGCUUUACAAUGCUACAAAAACACAUGUUGAACUGUUCAUUGAGAAGCCACCACAGGACAAAAAAAUGACUGGGCCAGGUGAUCAACUGAACCCAAUCACUGCCCCUUUAGCUCCUGAAGUUUCAGCUGGAUCUUUCUUGAAAUUGCAAAGGCUAAAGCAUAACCAGUCAAUGCCAUUUAAGAUCUGUGACCUUAACCUAAUGGAGUCUCCUGAAGUAAUUGAUAUUCCUGAGCGUCAGAUUACACACACUUCAACUCCUCCAUUGGAAUCUGGAAGACAGCGUUCAGUUGAUUUUGGUUUGUCAGUAAACAACAGGGCCAAAAGUAGUUAUGGCUUCAACCAACUUUCAGGGGAUGAAAAAGUCAUUCCCGUAAUUGAUUUGGAGGAUAACUCCACAAUAGAAGUGAAUGAUCCUUCCAAAUCUAAGAAUGAAAUAGUAUAUCCAACGGAAAAUGUCUUAAACCAGACAGCACAUUCAGAUAAUCUUCCUGCUAUUCAGGAUACUUUUUUGGCGAUUUCUGAUUACCUUGGAGCUGACAUAACAUGCAGCCCAUCAGGCCAAGCUGAACUUAAUAAUCUUCAAGUUGGAAUAGGUCUUCAUGGUACAGAGGGGUUUGCUGUUGUUGAUGAUUCGAUAUAUGGAUCUCUUGGAGAUAUAGGAUUUAUGGAUGUGUGGGACCAAACACCUCAGGAUUAUGAGAAGUUCUUUUGACUUAAAUUGCAUCAUGACAUCAUAGCAUGGUUCUCUAUUACUCAAUAUUCUGUGGCUGCCACUUUGAUUAGUAGUAAAUUGCAUUGGAUUAAGUGAACAAAGGGCACAAAAUUAGGUUCAUUGCACCAGGCAAUAUGCAAAGGAAAAUGAAAUUUGGGUAAGAUAGUACUAUAAAUAUGGACGUGCAGCUAAUUAUUUUAUUCCUAUCCAACUUUCUUCAGUUGUUCAAACUAUUUCAAAAGGCUGCGCUGAGUUAUUCAAUUUUCUAU